CGCGUCGCGUGCGUUUGCGGCAAGUCUCGAACCCCGCACCUUGAUCCGCGGCCAUCGCCAGCGUCUGCUGCUUCAUCGUCGUUUGCCUUUCUCCUUGCACGUGCGCUCUAUAACACCUGACAAGCACAAGCGGUGGACUUAAUCAGCGUUGCCUUAGUCGCCUGGUUGGGGAGUUACUCGCGGCAUGAGUGCCGUCGGCGCUUAAUAGGAUUAUUCAGGGCCGACUAAGUAGCCGAGUCGCGAAGGCAAGCAAAAGGCGCGGCGGAAUUGAUCCCUGCCGCGCCUUUUGCGGUAUAAGAUGUAGAUGUUCGGUAUCAGCCCUUGGACGGCUCAAUUAACGUGGCCAGCUUGCGAAUUCGCGGUGCCAUGACAAGGAGAAGCACGACGCCCAUCCCGGAAUGGAUGUGGUGGGCCUUAUCCAUGGGCUCGGCGUAAUCUUGUCCACGUCCCCAUGUGGCAAAAACGAAUUGUUUUCAUUCGAGGGGCCGCAGUUCUCGUUCGACUGAAAGGAUUAAAGGCGAUGAAUUCAGACGAUCAGUAGGGAGUGUUCCGGGCGGAGAGCCUUAUCUGGCAAGCGUUUCGGGGAUUGAAUCAGAUACAACCAGACGGUUGAUAAUGGGCGGGGUGGCGGAGGCGGUGAGAUUCGAACUCACGGAAGGAUCACUCCUUCGCCGGUUUUCAAGACCGGUGCCUUAAACCGCUCGGCCACACCUCC
RNAcentral lists this transfer RNA (715 nucleotides) under Candidatus Paraburkholderia calva. RNAcentral's name for it is "tRNA-OTHER". Lineage: Bacteria; Pseudomonadati; Pseudomonadota; Betaproteobacteria; Burkholderiales; Burkholderiaceae. The record is from RNAcentral.